RNAcentral lists this long non-coding RNA (454 nucleotides) under Gallus gallus (chicken). Its description in RNAcentral is "lncRNA (ENSGALG00010015500.1)". The record is from RNAcentral. Lineage: Eukaryota; Metazoa; Chordata; Aves; Galliformes; Phasianidae.
CCUAGAUAAAAUAUUUAGAUAUAAAAGAAGUCUUUAUAUAGACUGCAGCUGUCUUUUUUAGCUUUUCUUUGUGGUCUUUCAGGCCUUGUCAAUAACUGUGCAAGGAUGGAGAAUGAAUCACAAUAUAUUUAUAUUUCAUAUGAUAAGGUAGAAUGUUCUGUGCUAGAUCCUUGGACUUACCUCAUAUAGCAGAAGAUUACUCUGGGAUAACUGCAAAAAGAGUUCAAGCCUGUGAUACUGUAAGAUUACCGGGUAUUUUCACAGCUGGAAGAGUAGACCAUUAUAUUCCACACCAUGGUAUGUAUUAAACUCAAGGUAGGAUGAUGCUAAACGUUCUGGGAUGAGCUAACCCUUUGGGACCUUCAAAAAUCCAGUCCUUGGCAGAGCUGACUUUGGUCUGCAUGCAGGUAUGGUAUACUAGAUGCCUAGCACCAAGUUUAUCAUUGCAGGCAGC